GGGGAUCUCCCCAUGCAGUUCAGGCUGGCCUUGAGCUCACUUUGUAGCCCAGGCUGGUCUCCAACUCACAACAAUCCUCCCACCUCAGCCUCCUGAGUGCUGGGAUUACAGGUGUGAGCCACCACGCCCGGCUAUUUGCUGGGCUACUGAGAAGUGGACAGAUGAAAUUGUGAGGACUGACUCCGGCAGCCGCCCACCCUGGGCAGCCCAGGCAUUGGUACGGGGGCCCCAGGAGAAAGUGGGGGCCUGGCUAUCACUGACCCCUCUAACUUUAUCUUAUUUAUUCUGAGACAAGAUCUUGCUCUGUAGACCAGCCUGGCCUCCAAUUCAUGGUCAGACUCCUGCCUCAGCCUCCUGAGUGCCGAGAAAGACAGGUGGGUCACCACACCCAGCAAAUCCCGACAGUCCAGUUCCUCCAGAUGGUCCUGACCUCUGUGUCCUCCCUCCAGCCAGGCAGCCAGCAGAACAGCCUCCAUGCUCCCCAUGCAGUCUCCUGGGGUCUACGCUCUGCUCCCCUCAUCCCAGGCUCCCGCACCUCUCUUCUCAGCCCUCACCAGGGCAGCAGGAGCGGCAGUGCCAAUGCAGGUGACGAGAGCAGUGUGAAGACAGGACAUCAGGGGUCUCGAUGCCUUUGGAUGGGAAGCUGAGACGGGAAGCUUCCUGCUGCUGCCAGGGAGGAGCCAUUGCUCAGGUCUAGCUGCCAGGUUUGGCUCAUAAAAACUCUGGCGCCCUCUAAACCGCAGUCUCAGGAAAUCCCGGCCACUGUACCCGCAGGUGUCAGCUGAGCCCAUCUGAAAGCCCUCAGGGUGCUCCCAGAGCGCUAUGAAUGCAGGGAACAGGGCCCCAGGUGGGGCGCCUGCAGCAGAUGGUGGGGGUCAGGACAGGCCAGGACUUCGCCCCAGCCCCCGCACGGUGUCCCCGAACCCUGCCAGAGGCCGCCCCGGCUCCGAGUGCGGGGCCGGGACGCUGCUCUCUGUUAAUUAAACAGCGCACCAAAAAAAAAAAAAAAAAAAAGUGAGACGCUGAGAGACCGUGAGCCCGGAGCACGCGCCCCGGGCUCUCCAACGGAGAAUAGCUCACUUCCCCCGCCGCACCGAAAAUA
RNAcentral lists this long non-coding RNA (1102 nucleotides) under Cavia porcellus (domestic guinea pig). RNAcentral's name for it is "lncRNA (ENSCPOG00000034793.1)". The record is from RNAcentral. Lineage: Eukaryota; Metazoa; Chordata; Mammalia; Rodentia; Caviidae.